UGAAAAAAGCUCCUUAGGAUCAGACAAUU
RNAcentral lists this non-coding RNA (29 nucleotides) under Mus musculus (house mouse). The record is from RNAcentral. Lineage: Eukaryota; Metazoa; Chordata; Mammalia; Rodentia; Muridae.